ACGUGAGCAACCUGCCCUUGACUCUGGAAUAACAGCUGGAAACAGCUGCUAAUACCGGAUAUGACCUCUUGCGACAUCGCACGGAGGUGGAAAGCUCCGGCGGUCAAGGAUGGGCUCGCGGCCUAUCAGCUAGUUGGUGGGGUAACGGCCUACCAAGGCUUCGACGGGUAGCCGGCCUGAGAGGGCGACCGGCCACACUGGGACUGAGAUACGGCCCAGACUCCUACGGGAGGCAGCAGUGGGGAAUAUUGCACAAUGGGCGCAAGCCUGAUGCAGCAACGCCGCGUGCGGGAUGACGGC
Molecule: ribosomal RNA, 300 nt
Filed under: uncultured Propionibacteriaceae bacterium
Lineage: Bacteria; Bacillati; Actinomycetota; Actinomycetes; Propionibacteriales; Propionibacteriaceae
Description: bacterial SSU rRNA
Rfam family: Bacterial small subunit ribosomal RNA
Source: RNAcentral